UGCCGGGUGGUGUAAUGGUAACACGGAUGGCUCUGGACCAUCAAUUCUAGGUUCGAAUCCUGGCCCGGCAG
RNAcentral lists this transfer RNA (71 nucleotides) under Elusimicrobiota bacterium. RNAcentral describes it as "Elusimicrobia bacterium (hot springs metagenome) tRNA-Gln". It matches the Rfam family "tRNA". From Rfam's summary of the family: Transfer RNA (tRNA) molecules are approximately 80 nucleotides in length. Their secondary structure includes four short double-helical elements and three loops (D, anti-codon, and T loops). Lineage: Bacteria; Pseudomonadati; Elusimicrobiota. The record is from RNAcentral.